RNAcentral lists this ribosomal RNA (549 nucleotides) under uncultured bacterium. RNAcentral describes it as "bacterial SSU rRNA". It matches the Rfam family "Bacterial small subunit ribosomal RNA", at positions 356 to 896 of the family's 1533-position model. The record is from RNAcentral.
AGGGAAUCUUCCGCAAUGGACGAAAGUCUGACGGAGCAACGCCGCGUGAGUGAUGACGGCCUUCGGGUUGUAAAGCUCUGUUAAUCGGGACGAAAGGCCUUCUUGCGAAUAGUUAGAAGGAUUGACGGUACCGGAAUAGAAAGCCACGCCUAACUACGUGCCAGCAGCCGCGGUAAUACGUAGGUGGCAAGCGUUGUCCGGAAUUAUUGGGCGUAAAGCGCGCGCAGGCGGAUUGGUCAGUCUGUCUUAAAAGUUCGGGGCUUAACCCCGUGAUGGGAUGGAAACUGCCAAUCUAGAGUAUCGGAGAGGAAAGUGGAAUUCCUAGUGUAGCGGUGAAAUGCGUAGAUAUUAGGAAGAACACCAGUGGCGAGGGCGACUUUCUGGACGAAAACUGACGCUGAGGCGCGAAAGCCAGGGGAGCGAACGGGAUUAGAUACCCCGGUAGUCCUGGCCGUAAACGAUGGGUACUAGGUGUAGGGGGUAUCGACCCCUUCUGUGCCGGAGUUAACGCAAUAAGUACCCCGCCUGGGGAGUACGACCGCAAGGUUG